GGAGGCUGGAAAGCCCAGGGUCAGGGUGUCAGCAGGGUUUGCUUCCUAGUGAAGGACCUCCUCCUGGCUCGCAGCCUUCUGGCCGUGUUCUCACAUGGCGGGAAGAGAGGUCCAGCGUCUCCUCCUCUGAGGACAUCAUUCUAUUGGGUCAGGGCUCUGCCCUAUGACCUCAUUUAACUUUAAUUGCCUCCUUAAAGGCCCUGUCUCCAAUGAUCGCAUGGGGGGAGGGCUAGGGCUUCAACAUAUGUAUUUGUAGUGGGACACAGUUCAGUCCCUAACAAAAGGAAAUGAGAGCUCUGGAGGGUGGCACAUUGGCAGUUAAAUGCUUGUCCUGGAUGUGACACUCUUUCUUCACUAUCGCUCACAACCGUUUGGCCAGAACUGGUCACAUAGCCCCACAGGGAGCCCAGAAGUACAGUCCCAUCCCAUGCUCCAGUGGUGGAGAGUCAGAAAUAAGGUUGAGCGUCAUUGAUUUUCACCAUCAUAGUAAAUUUUGAAUCUUUACUAAGUGCAGGGCCUGUCCUGUGUGCUUCUUGAAUCAGGGAGAAGGUUUUAUACAAGAAAAUGGCACAUUCUGAAGUGGAGCUCAACAGGUGACUGGGUACCUGGAUAUGUGAUCGAGUAUUCUUCUGGGUGUUUCUAUGAGGAUGUUUUUGGAUGAAAUUGGCAUUUAAAUUGGUAAACUGAGUAAAGCAGUCUGUCCCCCUAACCGGGGUGGGCUUCAUGUAAUCAGCUCAAGGUUUGAAUACAACAAAAAGACUUACACUCUCGCAAGUGAAAGGCAAUUCUUUCUGCCUGGUAGCCUUCAAACUGAGACACAGGCUUUUAUCCUGCCUUCAGAUUCGCCUGGGAACACUGGCUCUUCCUGAGUCUCAAGCCUGCUGGCCUUGAGACAAGAACUACAUCAGCUCUCUCAGUUCUCAAGCCUUUGGACUUACUCUGGAACUAAGCCAUCAGCUCUCUUGGGUCGUCAGCUUGCCAACCAACUCAUCCUGAAGAUCUUGGGACUUGCCAGCCUUCAUAGUCACGUGGGCCAAUUCCUUUUUUUUUUUUUUUUUUUGAGAUGGGGUCUUACUCUGUUGCCCAGGCUGGACUGCAAUGGCACGAUUAUGGCUCACUGCAGCCUCAACCUCCAGGGCUUGAGUGAUCCUCCCACCUCAGCCUCCCAAGUAGCUGGGACUACAGGCACAUGCUACCAUGCCCAGCUAAUUAAAAAAAAUUUUUUUUUUGUAGAGACGGAGUUUCACUGUGUUGCUCAGGCUGGUCUUGAACUCCUGAGCUCAAGCAACCCUCCACUUCAGCUUCCCAAAGUGCUGGGAUUACAGGCAUCACUGGCCCAGGCAGAGCCAAUUCUGUAUAAUAAAUCUGUCUCUCUCUGUCUCUCGUGUAUGUGUGUGUGUGCACAUUCUGUUUUGCUAGAGAAUGCUGACUAAUACAGAAUCACAUCCUAAUUUAUUUCCUAAGAAGUUCUCAAAUCUUCAUUUCUUUGCUUAUGCCGCAGUAACAAACAAAACCCCAAACCUUAGAGGCUUAAAGCAGCAAGGUUUAUCUCUCUAUCACAUCCCAGUGUGCUGCAGGAAAAGCAGCUCCAGGGCAGCUGACUCCAUGCAGUGACUCAGAGAUCCAGCCUGCUUCCAUCUUUUGGUUCUUCCAUCCCAAGUGUGAUUUCUACCCACAGAGAAUGGAAAACUCACACCCACCUCUAACUACUCAGACUGGGAGUGGCACUGCUCAAUUCCACCCACAGA
Molecule: long non-coding RNA, 1748 nt
Filed under: Homo sapiens (human)
Lineage: Eukaryota; Metazoa; Chordata; Mammalia; Primates; Hominidae
Description: HSALNT0175836
Source: RNAcentral